RNAcentral lists this ribosomal RNA (474 nucleotides) under Russula emetica. Its description in RNAcentral is "eukaryotic LSU rRNA". The stretch from base 34 to 187 matches the Rfam family "5.8S ribosomal RNA". Lineage: Eukaryota; Fungi; Basidiomycota; Agaricomycetes; Russulales; Russulaceae. The record is from RNAcentral.
UUUUUUAUUUUUGCGAUGACACGCAAUCAAUACAACUUUCAACAACGGAUCUCUUGGCUCUCGCAUCGAUGAAGAACGCAGCGAAAUGCGAUACGUAAUGUGAAUUGCAGAAUUCAGUGAAUCAUCGAAUCUUUGAACGCACCUUGCGCCCCUUGGCAUUCCGAGGGGCACACCCGUUUGAGUGUCGUGAAAUUCUCAAAAACCCCUUCCUUUGGUGGAGAGGAUUUUGGACUUGGAGGUCUUUUGCUGGUUUCACCUUGAAGCGAGCUCCUCCCAAAUGGAUUAGUGGGGUCUGCUUUGCCGAUCCUUGACGUGAUAAUAUGUUUCUACGUCUUGGGUUUCUGCACUGUACCUCUGCUUCUAACCGUCUCAUUGACAACGAUGGUGUUCCGGUCACCGCCGAUUCAUCGGUGGGAGGCUUGACCCACAAAACGACCUUGACCUCAAAUCGGGUGGGACUACCCGCUGAACUUA